UUGCUUUGGCAUCACAUAUACUAAAAUUGGAAUGAUACAGAGAAUUAUAGCAUGGUCCCUACGCAAGGUUGACACAAAUUCAUGAAGUGUUCCAUAUUUUU
Molecule: small nuclear RNA, 101 nt
Filed under: Nannospalax galili (Upper Galilee mountains blind mole rat)
Lineage: Eukaryota; Metazoa; Chordata; Mammalia; Rodentia; Spalacidae
Source: RNAcentral